RNAcentral lists this ribosomal RNA (460 nucleotides) under uncultured bacterium. RNAcentral describes it as "partial 16S ribosomal RNA". It matches the Rfam family "Bacterial small subunit ribosomal RNA", at positions 338 to 795 of the family's 1533-position model. The record is from RNAcentral.
CCUACGGGUGGCAGCAGUGAGGAAUAUUGGUCAAUGGACGCAAGUCUGAACCAGCCAUGCCGCGUGCAGGAAGACGGCUCUAUGAGUUGUAAACUGCUUUUGUACGAGGGUAAACGCAGAUACGCGUAUCUGUCUGUAUGUAUCUUACGAAUAAGGAUCGGCUAACUCCGUGCCAGCAGCCGCGGUAAUACGGAGGAUUCAAGCGUUAUCCGGAUUUAUUGGGUUUAAAGGGUGUGUAGGCGGUCGGAUAAGUUAGAGGUGAAAUCCCGAGGCUCAACUUCGGAAUUGCCGCUGAUACUGGUCGGCUAGAGAGUAGUUGAGGUAGGCGGAAUGUAUGGUGUAGCGGUGAAAUGCUUAGAGAUCAUGCAGAACACCGAUUGCGAAGGCAGCUUGCCAAGCUAUUACUGACGUUGAGGCACGAAAGCGUGGGGAGCAAACAGGAUUAGAUACCCCAGUAGUC